CGGAGGAAUGUACUGCAGCCAAAUUGUUAGGCUGUUCAUAUUUGACCAAACUUGUCAACUUCUCUAUAACGAUCCGACUGCUUAUCUCAAAAUAAACCACUGAAAUGAACAUGUGACUAUAUAUCCAGAAUCCUCAUCUGGAAUGCCAAUAGGGAUCACAAACCAACAUUACAGCUCACCACUGAUCCAGAUUUCUACCCAUCGUUUUAGCACUGGAGGUGCUGUGGUAAUACUGAAGGUACUGUGGUACGAGAUACUGUGUUAGCACUGGAAAUACUGUGGGACUAGAUACAGUGGGACUAGGUACUGUGGUACGAGAUACUGUGUUAGCACUGGAGAUACUGUGGGACUAGAUACUGUGGGACUAGAUACUGUGGGAUGAGAUACUGUGGGACUAGAUACUGUGGGACUAGAUACUGUGGGACUAGAUACCAUGGGACUAGGUACUGUGGGCUAUAUACUGUGGGACUAGAUACCAUUGGACUAGGUACUGUGGGACUAGAGACUGUGUUAGCACUGGAGAUAAUAUGGGACUAGGUAUUGUGGGACUCAAUUCCAUUGGACUAGUUACUGUGGUACUAGGUACUGUGGGACUAGUUGCUGUGGGACCAGGUACUGUGGGACUAAAUACUGUGGGACUAGAUACCGUGGGACUAGAUACUGUGGGACUAGGCAUUGUGGGACUAGAUGCUGUGGGACUAGAUACUGUUGGACUAGAUGCUGUGGGACCAGGUGCUGUGAGACUAGAUACCAUGGGACUAGAUACUGUUGGACUAGAUACUGUGGGACUAGAUACUGUUGGACUAGGUACUGUGGGACUAGAUACUGUGGGACUAGAUACUGUGGGACUAGAUACCAUGAGACUAGAUACCAUGGGACUAUAUACUGUGGGACUGGAUACUGUGGGACUAGAUGCUGUUGGACUCAUUACCAUGGGACUAGAUACUGUGGGACUUGGUACUGUUGGACUCACUACCAUGGGACUAGAUACUGUGGGACUCAUUAUCAUGGGACUCGGUACUGUGGGACUAAGUACUGUUGGACUCAUUACCAUGGGACUAGAUACUGUGGGACUAGGUACUGUGAGACUCAUUAUCAUGGGACUAGAUAAUGUGGGACUCAUUAUCAUGGGACUAGAUACUGUGGGACUAGGUGCUGUGGGACUUAUUACCAUGCGACUAGGUACUGUGGGACUAGAUACUGUGGGACGUUACCAUGGGACUAGGUACUGUGGGACGUUACCAUGGGACUAGGUACUGUGGGACAUUACCAUGGGACUAGGUACUGUGGGACGUUACCAUGGGACUAGGUACUGUGGGACUAGGUACUGUGGGAUUAGAUACUGUUGGACUCAUUACCAUGGGACUAGGUUCCAUGGGACUAGGUACUGUGGGACAUUACCAUGGGACUAGGUACUGUGGGACCAGAUACUGUGGGACCAGAUGCUGUGGGACUAGGUACUGUGGGACUAGGUACUGUGGGACCAGAUGCUGUGGGACUAGGUACUGUGGGACCAGAUACUGUGGGACCAGAUGCUGUGGGACUAGGUACUGUGGGACGUUACCAUGGGACUAGAUACUGUGGGACCAGAUACUGUGGGACUAGGUACUGCGGAACUAGGUACUGCGGAACUUCUGCUGGUUGGGGAACAUUUUGAUUGAAACCACAAUAUUAACACUCUUAUGAGUGUACAUGCAUUUUUGUAUAUUAUAUAUCAGUGGAGGCUGCUGAGGGGAGGACGGCUCAUAAUAAUGGCUGGAUCGGAGCAAAUGGAAUGGCAUGCAACCAUGUGUUUGAUGUAUUUGAUACCAUUCAA
Molecule: long non-coding RNA, 1816 nt
Organism: Oncorhynchus tshawytscha (Chinook salmon)
Lineage: Eukaryota; Metazoa; Chordata; Actinopteri; Salmoniformes; Salmonidae
Source: Ensembl